Molecule: ribosomal RNA, 314 nt
Filed under: uncultured bacterium
Lineage: Bacteria
Description: bacterial SSU rRNA
Rfam family: Bacterial small subunit ribosomal RNA
Source: RNAcentral
AGUUAACGCUGGCAUCGUGCAUAACACAUGCAAGUCGAACGGGACUUUGCUUUGUAGCAACACAAAGUAAAGUUUAGUGGCAGACGGGUGAGUAAUGUAUAAGAAACCUACCUCUGAGUGGGGAAUAACAGUCCGAAAGGAUUGCUAAUACCCCAUAACAUAUCUAGAUGGCAUCAUUUAGAUAUCAAAGAUUUAUCGCUUGGAGACGGUCUUAUAUCUAUCAGCUAGUUGGCAGUGUAACGGACUACCAAGGCGACGACGGAUAGCCGGCCUGAGAGGGUGAACGGCCACAAGGGGACUGAGACACGGCCCUU